CGACUCCUUCAUUUGGCGAAACAGCAGUGUUGGCCGCCGACUUGAGGCUGGAGCUGUGCGUGAUGGGUAUCUUUUGGGUGACAGUGGAUAUCCCCUCAAGCGGUGGCUGCUCACCCCGUUCAACAACCCGCAGAGCGCAGAGGAGCGAAAUUACAACACUCGCCACAGCCAGGCACGAGCUGUGGUAGAGCGCUCAAUAGGCCUGCUAAAGGGCAGGUGGCGCUGCCUCGAUGCCACAGGAGGAAAGCUUUGCUAUAAACCGGACAAGGCAUGUGCAGCACUUUGGUUCGACCGAAAAUCUAUUUUAAAUGUGCUAUAUAAAUAAAAUUUGAUUUGAUUUGAAGAUGUGCCAAAUUGUGAGGCCGUGUGCUGUGCUGCACAAUUUGGCACUCCUUAAAAAUGUGCCGUUACCCCCUGAGGCUGCAUGUACCGGCCACGAGCCAGACCCCCUUCCCCAUGCACAUCCACACCCACACCCAGGUGGAGUUCAACAGCGUCUGGAUGUGAUGCGUAACUUACACACACAACAAGGACUGCAUCUGUGAGGACACGGCCGCUGCUGGAGGGCUGCG
This is a long non-coding RNA of Pseudoliparis swirei, 572 nucleotides long. RefSeq lists it as uncharacterized. The transcript has 3 exons. Lineage: Eukaryota; Metazoa; Chordata; Actinopteri; Perciformes; Liparidae. The record is from RefSeq and is a predicted model, not a curated record.